GCUCGUCUAGCUCAGUCGGUUGAGCGCAAGGCUUCUAACCUCGUGGUCGUGAGUUCAAGCCUCACGGUGGGCG
Non-coding RNA from Turnera subulata, 73 nucleotides. Lineage: Eukaryota; Viridiplantae; Streptophyta; Magnoliopsida; Malpighiales; Passifloraceae. The record is from the annotation of a GenBank genome assembly.